This is a long non-coding RNA of Pseudophryne corroboree (corroboree frog), 364 nucleotides long. RefSeq lists it as uncharacterized. The transcript has 3 exons. The record is from RefSeq and is a predicted model, not a curated record. Lineage: Eukaryota; Metazoa; Chordata; Amphibia; Anura; Myobatrachidae.
CAGUCACACAGACCAGCCGCCCAGACAGGCCACAGACAAGUCAGGAUGAGGCUGGGAUUGCAGGUUCUGCUUCUGGAAGCCGAGCUCAUGUAAGGCGCCCAUCACAGGGCUUGGGCCACUUACCCAGGAGGCCAAGCAAGACACGGCGUCUUGGCUCGGAUUCUGCGGCUCCAUCAUCCCCACCCAGGCGAAGACUUUCGGCAGUGUCACCCCAGCCACCACUGGCACUAUUGGCGAGUUCUCAGAGUGAUGAGCCCCGAUCACCUCAGUUAUCUGAGCACAGCAUGAUGGCCGACGUGGACCAGCAGGGCCAAGACCAACAGCAAACCAUCACACUGCAACUUACACCUGUUGAGCCAAGCCA